This 694-nucleotide ribosomal RNA is filed under the name uncultured bacterium. RNAcentral's name for it is "bacterial SSU rRNA". It matches the Rfam family "Bacterial small subunit ribosomal RNA", at positions 32 to 715 of the family's 1533-position model. The record is from RNAcentral.
AACGCUAGCUACAGGCUUAACACAUGCAAGUCGCGGGGCAGCAUGUCGGUUGCUUGCAACCGAUGAUGGCGACCGGCGCACGGGUGAGUAACGCGUAUCCAACCUACCCUUCACCACGGAAUAAUCCAGUGAAAAUUGGUCUAAUACCGUAUGAGGUCAUACGAUGGCAUCAGAAUAUGACGAAAGGUUUAGCGGUGAAGGAUGGGGAUGCGUCUGAUUAGCUUGUUGGUGAGGUAACGGCUCACCAAGGCGACGAUCAGUAGGGGUUCUGAGAGGAAGGUCCCCCACAUUGGAACUGAGACACGGUCCAAACUCCUACGGGAGGCAGCAGUGAGGAAUAUUGGUCAAUGGGCGAGAGCCUGAACCAGCCAAGUAGCGUGCAGGAUGACGGCCCUAUGGGUUGUAAACUGCUUUUAUACGGGGGUAAAGUCAUCCACGUGUGGAUGUUUGCAAGUACCGUAAGAAAAAGGAUCGGCUAAUUCCGUGCCAGCAGCCGCGGUAAUACGGAAGAUCCGAGCGUUAUCCGGAUUUAUUGGGUUUAAAGGGAGCGUAGGCCGGAGAUUAAGCGUGUUGUGAAAUGUAGUGGCUCAACCUCUGCACUGCAGCGCGAACUGGUCUUCUUGAGUACGCACAACGUGGGCGGAAUUCGUGGUGUAGCGGUGAAAUGCUUAGAUAUCACGAAGAACUCCGAUUG